AGAAUGAACGCUGGCGGCAUGCCUAACACAUGCAAGUCGAACGAGACCUUCGGGUCUAGUGGCGCACGGGUGCGUAACGCGUGGGAAUCUGCCCUUGGGUUCGGAAUAACAGUUAGAAAUGACUGCUAAUACCGAAUGAUGUCGUAAGACCAAAGAUUUAUCGCCCAGGGAUGAGCCCGCGUAGGAUUAGCUAGUUGGUGUGGUAAAGGCGCACCAAGGCGACGAUCCUUAGCUGGUCUGAGAGGAUGAUCAGCCACACUGGGACUGAGACACGGCCCAGACUCCUACGGGAGGCAGCAGUGGGGAAUAUUGGACAAUGGGCGAAAGCCUGAUCCAGCAAUGCCGCGUGAGUGAUGAAGGCCUUAGGGUUGUAAAGCUCUUUACCCGGGAUGAUAAUGACAGUACCGGGAGAAUAAGCUCCGGCUACUCCGUGCCAGCAGCCGC
RNAcentral lists this ribosomal RNA (444 nucleotides) under uncultured bacterium. RNAcentral's name for it is "SSU rRNA". It matches the Rfam family "Bacterial small subunit ribosomal RNA", at positions 26 to 518 of the family's 1533-position model. The record is from RNAcentral.